AGGGCGUUUGGUGGAUGCCUAGGCAGCAAGAGGCGAUGAAGGACGUGAUACCCUGCGAUAAGCCAUGGGGAGCCGGGAAUAGGCUUUGAUCCAUGGGUCUCCGAAUGGGGAAACCCACCUGACAGUUCGUUAUAACUACCUCGGUAGCUUAUAAUGGGCUGAGACAGGUACUUUAACCCUGAAUACAUAGGGGUUUUAGAGCGAACCCGGGGAACUGAAACAUCUAAGUACCCGGAGGAAAGGAAAUCAACAGAGACUCCGCUAGUAGUGGCGAGCGAACGCGGACCAGCCGAGCCUGGAAGAGUGACUGGAAGCGUCUGGAAAGGCGCGCCACAGCGGGUGACAGCCCCGUACAGGAAGCUCCACGGGACAUAUUAAGUAGGGCGGGACACGUGAAAUCCUGUCUGAAGAUCGGGGGACCACCCCCGAAGGCUAAGUACUCCUUGCUGACCGAUAGCGAACCAGUACCGUGAGGGAAAGGUGAAAAGCACCCCGACGAGGGGAGUGAAACAGUACCUGAAACCGGACGCCUACAAGCAGUCGGAGCGGCCUUGAGCCCUGACGGCGUACCUUUUGUAUAAUGGGUCAACGACUUGGUCUAACGAGCGAGCUUAAGCCGAUAGGUGUAGGCGCAGCGAAAGCGAGUCUUAAAAGGGCGCAUGAGUUCGUUGGAUCAGACCCGAAACCAGGUGAUCUAGCCAUGAGCAGGAUGAAGGUUGGGUAACACCAACUGGAGGUCCGAACCCACACCUGUUGAAAAAGAUCGGGAUGACUUGUGGCUAGGGGUGAAAGGCCAAUCAAACUCGGAGAUAGCUGGUUCUCCGCGAAAGCUAUUUAGGUAGAGCGUCAGACGAAUACCCUCGGGGGUAGAGCACUGGAUGGGUGAUGGGGUCCCACAGACUUACUGAGCCUAAGCAAACUCCGAAUACCCGAGAGGACUGUCCGGGAGACACACGGCGGGUGCUAACGUCCGUCGUGAAGAGGGAAACAACCCUGACCUGCAGCUAAGGCCCCCAAUUCGUGGCUAAGUGGGAAAGCAUGUGGGACGGCCAAAACAACCAGGAGGUUGGCUUAGAAGCAGCCAUCCUUUAAAGAUAGCGUAACAGCUCACUGGUCUAGAUAAGCUGUCCUGCGGCGAAGAUGUAACGGGGCUCAAGCCACGAGCCGAAGCUCAGGGUGCACGCAAGUGCGCGGUAGCGGAGCGUUCUGUUCUGUAUCUCAUGUCUCUUUGACGCCCCAGGGCGUCCCGGAGACAGCGAGAUCUGCUGUGAAGCGGGCCCGUGAGGGACCCGUGGAGCGUUCAGAAGUGAGAAUGUUGACAUGAGUAGCGACAAAGAGGGUGAGAGACCCUCUCGCCGAAAGUCCAAGGGUUCCUGCUUAAAGCUAAUCUGAGCAGGGUAAGCCGGCCCCUAAGGCGAGGCCGAAAGGCGUAGUCGAUGGGAACCAGGUUAAUAUUCCUGGGCCAGGAGGAUGUGACGGAUCUCAGGUGUAGUUCGGUCUUAUCGGAUUGACCGGGCUGCUGAGAGGUUCCUGGAAAUAGCCCUCCAUCAGACCGUACCCUAAACCGACACAGGUGGACUGGUAGAGAAUACCAAGGCGCUUGAGCGAAGUGUGCUGAAGGAACUCGGCAAAUUACCUGCGUAACUUCGGGAUAAGCAGGCCGUCAAUCUGGGCAACCAGAGUGGCGGGGCACAGACCAGGGGGUGGCGACUGUUUACCUAAAACACAGGGCUAUGCUAAGUCCAACGACGACGUAUAUGGCCUGACGCCUGCCCGGUGCUGGAAGGUUAAGAGGAGAAGUGCAAGCUUUGAAUCGAAGCCCCAGUAAACGGCGGCCGUAACUAUAACGGUCCUAAGGUAGCGAAAUUCCUUGUCGGGUAAGUUCCGACCUGCACGAAUGGCGUAACGACUUCCCCACUGUCUCCAGCACACACUCAGUGAAAUUGAAUUCCCCGUGAAGAUGCGGGGUUCCUGCGGUUAGACGGAAAGACCCCGUGCACCUUUACUGUAGCUUUACACUGGCAAUCGUGUUUGCAUGUGUAGGAUAGGUGGUAGGCUUUGAAGCUUGGGCGCCAGCUCGAGUGGAGCCGCAAUGUGAAAUACCACCCUUAUGAACAUGGUUGUCUAACCGCGGACCGUCAUCCGGUCCCGGGACAUUGUAUGGUAGGCAGUUUGACUGGGGCGGUCGCCUCCUAAAGUGUAACGGAGGCGUGCGAAGGUGGGCUCAGGUUGGUCGGAAAUCAACCGUCGAGUGCAAUGGCAUAAGCCCGCCUGACUGCGAGACUGACAAGUCGAGCAGAGUCGAAAGACGGCCAUAGUGAUCCGGUGGUCCCAAGUGGGAGGGCCAUCGCUCAACGGAUAAAA
RNAcentral lists this ribosomal RNA (2364 nucleotides) under bioreactor sludge metagenome. RNAcentral describes it as "bacterial LSU rRNA". It matches the Rfam family "Bacterial large subunit ribosomal RNA", at positions 14 to 2461 of the family's 2925-position model. The record is from RNAcentral.